Cairina moschata (Muscovy duck) is the source of this 889-nucleotide long non-coding RNA. The record is from Ensembl. NCBI's taxonomy places the organism in Eukaryota, Metazoa, Chordata, Aves, Anseriformes, Anatidae.
GGAGAAUGCAAAGAAGAUGGAAGGGGGGCUGGAGCCUGGGGAGGCAAACUGUGUGACAACAGCCAUCAAAUGAAGGAAAGAGAAACAGCGAAGGUAAAGAAAGAAAGAGCAAACAGGACACAAAGGAGCAUCAUUUCCCUAUCUCUGCCCGCCUUUCCCUCAGCCUGUUGACCUCUGACACCUAUGAAAAUCACUUCCACAUUUGGAAAACUUGGAGAAAUUCCUCAGUUCCUAUGCUUAUUCUUUACAAUGUGUCCCAAAGACCUGUGGUAUCGUCUGUGUUAAGUGCUGGGUUCAAGAGAUUAAGGGCAAUGACUGGCAUCUAGUUCACUUUUAUUUCCAUUUCAGUGCAACCUCACAUCGCUAUACAUCUGUUUUGUUGAUUCAGAAGAGCACUUGAGAUGCUUUACAGUUGAUUUUGACAAGUGCUACAAUUUGAUAUGGGUAGAUAAUUCUUGCUGAGAUGAUUUCAAAAGUACAGAAAUUAUAAUUUUGAGUAGAUAUUACCUUUCUUUAUGAUCAGAAUUUUCAUGUAAUAUACUGUGCACUUAAGCUUCUUAAUCACAUUUGCCUUUUUUUAAACAUUACAUUCUUUCCAUCUAAUCUAGUAAAGUAUUGCAAAUUAAAAUAUUGUUCUAAAUAUAUCUUGUAGUGCUUUUUUUUUUUUUUUUUUUUUUUUUUUUUUUUUUUUUUUUUUUUUUUUUUUUUUUUUUUUUUUUCCAUGCAAUGUGGACAGCUCAUGUAAAACCAACGUAAAAAAAAAAAAAAUUAAAAAUGUUCCCUCCCAACCUUCUCCCCAAAAGUACUUGGUUUGGGAUUUAAUUAAGUAGUGAGACAGGACAAACUGUAAGGUAGGGCUGAUUAACGCACACCUCAGGUAAAUUUCAAC